RNAcentral lists this unclassified non-coding RNA (2838 nucleotides) under Pectinophora gossypiella (pink bollworm). RNAcentral's name for it is "15-hydroxyprostaglandin dehydrogenase [NAD(+)]-like". Lineage: Eukaryota; Metazoa; Arthropoda; Insecta; Lepidoptera; Gelechiidae. The record is from RNAcentral.
ACCGAUCGAACCACAGCCGGGGCGUAGUUACCGCGCCGCUUCCGAACCAACAGUUUAUCAACACACGACACGAUGGAAUUAAAAGGAAAGGUGGCUCUCAUCACUGGAGCGGCCGCUGGAAUAGGCCUGGCUUACAGCGAAGAACUACUCAAACAAGGAGCGAAGGUUUCCCUUUGCGAUAUCGAUUCGGACCUCGGCGAACAAAUAUCUGAUGAGCUGGGCGCCAAGUAUGGCCGGAAGAACGUACUCUUCUGUCAGUGUGACGUCACUGACUACCCGCAAUAUGAAGAGGCGUUCGAGAUGACGAUGAAGGUAUUCAACCGACUGGACAUCGUCAUCAACAAUGCAGGAGUCAUGAACGACCGGUUCUGGGAGCUCGAAGUCGAUGUUAAUUUGAAUGGCGUGAUCCGCGGCACGCUGCUCGCGUACCGGUUCAUGGGCAAGGACCGCGGCGGGCAGGGCGGCACCAUCGUCAACACGGCGUCUACCGCCUUCGCGCGCCCUCAGGUCUCCACGCCCAUCUACACCGCCACCAACUACGCCGUCGUUGGUCUUACUAGGGCUUAUGGGGAUCAAUACCACGUGAAUCUGACAGGCGUGCGGAGUAUGGUCCUAUGCCCAGGGUUGACUGACACUGGGCUGGUGAAGGAAAUACGCAAACAACUCAUGUCUUCGGAGUACGAAGCUGCCUGGCAGAGGGAUAACGCUAACUGCAAAACUCAAAGUGCGGAGCAUGUCGGUCGCGCGCUGAUCGACAUCCUGACCAAAGGCCAGACGGGAUCCGUGUGGAUUGUGGAAAAUGGGCAACCGCCGAGGGAGUGGCGCGGUUAAGUUUAUAUCGGAGUCUGUUAAGCCCUGUCCUUGGGAAGGCUAUUGAAGGAUUGAAAGACGGAAAAACAUACGAGGAGGAUUCUUUACCUAUUCUGGCAUACAAAAUAGUGAACUAUUUUAAGAUUAUUGGCUCUGCGGAGUCUAUACGAAAACGCGCAAAGUAUAUUGAGAGCUUCGACCAAUAGCCGUACGAUAUUUAUCCACGUAGAUAACAUUCGCUGCGUGUAUUGGUCGAAGCCCUCGAUCGCCGUGCGUAACUCGCGGUUGAUGUGCAGACCCCACAGUCAAAAAAAAAAGUGAGGUAAAAAAACUAAUAGUGUUGCCAGUUAAUUUGUCAAAACAAUUUGCUAAUUAUAAGCAAAAAAAGUCGUAGAUUCAAGCCCUCUUAUAGACAGUGUAAGUAGUCAUUAUCAAAAAUAUGGGCGUAAUGUUAUAAUCAUUGAUAUUAUAGGUAUAUACGGUUGGAUAAUAUGGAAAGGUCGCCAUUCGGUGUGCGUCAAGCUAGCGGCCUCAAAAAAAAAUGGGCACGAAAAAAUAAUUUGACCAUACCAAAAAAUAGUACUCUUAUUGAAAAAAAUAGUACCUGUUGUAAAAAAAUUAGUACCAUCACGGUUCUGGAUUUAUAGCCAUGUUUUAUUGCACUUGCUAGCUUGACGGUGAGCGAAAUUUGGCGAGAGUUAACGACAAGGUCUUUCGCUUUGAUUUAAACGCCAAAAAAUAGUAUCGAAAUAGUACUCACCCCCUGCAAAAUACCGAAAGUAGUACUUCAACGGUUCCAAAGUUAUAAAGGUAGUUCUUUGAUCCCGCUAGCUUGACGUUUUGAAAAUACCUAUUAUCUGGGGAAUGCUUGCAUACUUCAGUUUGUAACUAAUGUCAAUAAACUCGUAUGAAAUAGUACUCCCUACCAUCAUAAUUUGGACCUGAUUCUCUUUGUAGAAAUAUGUCAAAAAGUCAUUAUAACCUAUGUCAUACAUUUAUCAAGACAAGUACAGUCGCGAACAAAAUUAUUACACAUGGUCAAGAAUGUUGUCAGAUUUCAGUAUUUUUCCCCAUUUUUGGGUAAAAAUUGGUGAAGUGCCAGGGUUGUUAGAUGAAAGUAAUAUCAUUGUUGAAACUCUUUGAGUUAUUCUACAAAUACUGCAAAUUGUUUAUUAACAAACACUUCGAUCCGUAACAAAUUCAACAUGAAGGUAUAAAUUAUAAAAUAAAACAGCAGAUUAAAAAUGUAUUAUGAUGUAUUAAAAUCACAGAUUGUUUUCGAUAAGAACUAGACCCAUGCAGCCAUUUUCUAUUAAAAUUAGUGCAUAUGGGUGUAUGCAAUAGGAUUUUUUUGUAAUAGCAGCACUGAAGUGCAAAGAAAUGGUAGGGUAGACCUCCAAAAUGGCAAUACUUACGAAUAAAUUGUGAGGUUAUGUAAUUGUCUACGUGACUGUAUCAACAACAAAUGUAUGGCAUAGGUUAUGAUGAUUUUUUAACAUUUCUACAAAGAGAAUCGGAUCAAAAUUAUGAUGGUAGGGAGUACUAUUUCAUACGAGUUUAUUGACAUUAGUUACAUACUGAAGUAUGCAAGCGUUCCCCAGAUAAUAGGUAUUUUCAAAACGUCAAGCUAGCGGGAUCAAAGAACUGCCUUUAUAACUUUGGAACCGUUGAAGUACUACUUUCGGUAUUUUGCAGGGGGUGAGUACUAUUUCGAUACUAUUUUUUGGCGUUUAAAUCAAAGCGAAAGACCUUGUCGUUAACUCUCGCCAAAUUUCGCUCACCGUCAAGCUAGCAAGUGCAAUAAAACAUGGCUAUAAAUCCAGAACCGUGAUGGUACUAAUUUUUUUACAACAGGUACUAUUUUUUUCAAUAAGAGUACUAUUUUUUGGUGUGGUCAAAUUAUUUUUUCGUGCCCAUUUUUUUUUUGAGGCCGCUAGCUUGACGCACACUUUUAUUCUGAUGUUGUUGUUUCAUUUAGUUGAGUUUUAAAAACGUUCCAUUUUUCCUUAAUAAAUCGUGUAUUUCAAA